UUUUACGAAACUAGGUUUCACCUUCUUUUCAGUCUUGAUAGUGAAGGCACUUGAGGGUUGCAGACUCAUGAUCUUGAUUCUCGACGUACCCAUUUUCAUAGCCUUUCUUCUUAAACAAAUCAAGGGCCAUUUGUGAAGCUCUUGUAAGGUACUUUCUUCCUACUUGAUGAACUUCCUUAGAAGAGGAAAUUCAUCUACUUUUUAUCUUCGUAGAAGCGUAAUCUUUGUUACUGUUUCUGUUAACUUCUGAAAAUUUGAUCUGUUCAGUAGUUUCUUCUCGCAUCUGUUUGUUACUAUGGGUAUAAUUUUCUUGAACGUAGAUACAAUUCUACAAGGAUUUUAGUAGUUUUACCUAUUGGUUGGGAAACUAUUAGAGGGAAAAUACAUUCAGAAUUCUGCAUUUUCUUGUAAUACCUAUCUAACCAAAAAGAAAAUUUAGAAGGUUGCAGUUUGACAUAUUUUCUUUUAAUUAUUUUUCCCUUAAUUGCAUCGGGGUAUAGAUGGCUAUAAAAUUCAAGAGUAAAGUGAGAGUUAAAGAUAGAAUCAGUGACUUACCAGAUGCAAUUCUUUGUCACAUCCUUUCCUUCAUUCCAACAAAAUAUGCUGUGAGGACUGUCACUUUGUCUACAAGAUGGAAGAAAGUGUGGGCGUCUGUUCCCUGCCUAGACUUCUGUCCCAAAGAUUUUGAUUUCUAUGAAAGUUUUCUGAUGUUUGUUAGUCGCUUACUUCUAUAUCGUGGCUCAUCAGACAUUCAAAAGUUCCGACUUCGUUGUCUGAAGAAUGAUAGUCAGUUCCCCCUUAUUGACGGUUGGAUUUGCACCACUAUUAUGAGGCAUGUUGUUGAACUUGAUCUUGAUGUUCCAGGAGGUUCCUGAAUUUUUGAGUUGGCUAGAAGCCUUAUGUCAAGUUUUGCUUUUGAUACCCCAAAGUCAUGGUGUUUGCCUAGUCUCAAGGUGCUUGUUGUUACAGUUGAUCGUCCUGAUAACGAUCCAAUGAGAGCUUCUGCCUUACUGCCUCGCGAUUGAAGAUUUGACUAUAAAGGGUUCUGUUAAACAACAUGUUAUUUCGAAUUUUCACAUCUCUGCGCUUCAACUAAAGACUUAACGAUCAUUUUAGAGACUCGAGAAGAUGAUCAUUUUCCUGUGAAAAAUGGGUGCACUCUUAUUAUUAGAGCCCCGAAACUGGAAAAUUUAGAUAUCGACCAAUGUGUUCUGUCACUUUAUCUUCUGGACACUGCAAAAUCUUUUGCCAAAGCCACUAUUCAUCUUUCUGACGUAAAGCAAAGAGAUAAUCCUGCCUUUGCUAACCGUGCAACAACCCUUCUGGCACAAAUUAGCGAUGUUAAAUAUCUGUCCCUUUCGGCACAUUGUUUGGAGGCUUGUCAUCUGCCUAUUUUUCGUAAUUUGAGGCAACUGGAGCUGGUUCUUCAUUAGCUGUUCUUGGUGGCCAGAGUUGUUGAAGACAUCACCUAAUCUGGAAUCUCUUGUUUUAGAUCAUUCAAGACAUCCCUCUUGGCGCAUGGAUAGUUGUGAAUUCACAUGGCUACAAUGGAAUUCCCCAGAGUCGGUGCCUAGUUGUGUGUUGUCACAACUCAAAACUAUAUGUACAAGGAAUUUUAGAGGAGAGCCGGAAUG
Long non-coding RNA from Rosa chinensis, 1634 nucleotides. RefSeq lists it as uncharacterized. The transcript is spliced from 3 exons. The record is from RefSeq and is a predicted model, not a curated record. Lineage: Eukaryota; Viridiplantae; Streptophyta; Magnoliopsida; Rosales; Rosaceae.